Long non-coding RNA from Haliotis rubra (blacklip abalone), 1033 nucleotides. RefSeq lists it as uncharacterized. The record is from RefSeq and is a predicted model, not a curated record. The transcript has 2 exons. Lineage: Eukaryota; Metazoa; Mollusca; Gastropoda; Lepetellida; Haliotidae.
UGAAGGCUUAGAAAGGUUCUCAAACAUAAUCUUCUCUAUACAGGAGGUGAUCAGCCAGUCGCGGUCCCGCUUCAACCCCAGCAUCAGCAUGAUCAAGAAGUGUAUAGAGACUCUCAUAGACAAACAGUACCUCGAAAGGACAGCUAACACUACAGACGAAUACAGCUACGUAGCAUGAUGCAGCUGUCUAUGUGGGUGUGCAUCACAUACUCUAGCCCUCAUACCGACUGCAUCGUCACUAACGCUCAAUAUGUCAUUCUGUCUAGAUGUGAAAUCAGCCUGACUUUCAAGCUCCUGAUCUGAGGCUGCGAGUGCACCUGUUGAAGAAUGGCACCACAGGAUUGGAUUAUAUGAAGAGUGUGUAUUGUUAUUAAAGCAUAUUGGAAUACAUCUAUGGGAUCUAAGGAUGGGAUAACAUUUUGAGAGGAAAAUAAUAGACUAACUUUCUCUUGGAGUCCUACUGGGAAAAUGGAAAAAUGGAAAAUGGACAACUAUUCAUAACAGUCAUUUAUUAUUACAUCUUGACACGUACAGCAAUAUUGGUGGAAGAGAAGUGGACAGUUGUGUUUAACAAGAACAUGACAGAACAAGGUUGAUGGCAGAAAACGUGAUUGUGACUAUGGAAUGCAUCCUCAGACAUUAGUUAAGAAAAUAUUGAAACUAUUAUUGUCAUAGUUCCGUGAAGGCUGGAGUAAUUAAUCCCCACGGUUCCUUGAUCCUCCUUACCAACAAAUAAAAAAGGGAGAUGACACAAAAUUAUGUAUAAAUUUUGCAAGUUUAUUCUAUUUUAUUUUCAAACAAAAUUAAUCAAGCAAAUAUAAAUUAAACUAAAAAUUACAAUGUAUUCUCACAAAUUUACUGAAGACUUAUCCAUAAAAUAUAAAAUAGGUCUGUGAAGUCCUCAUGCAAAGAAAACCAAGAGAAAUCUGUUUCUAACUGCUGCAAGUAGCAAAUGUUUUUUUGUGUUUUUAAAAAAAUUGAAAUCCAUCAAUUUUUUGUAUGUGGUUAAUAAGUGAUGAUCAUGCUAAAGAAA